This 252-nucleotide ribosomal RNA is filed under the name uncultured bacterium. RNAcentral describes it as "partial 16S ribosomal RNA". It matches the Rfam family "Bacterial small subunit ribosomal RNA", at positions 524 to 776 of the family's 1533-position model. The record is from RNAcentral.
UACGUAGGUCCCGAGCGUUAUCCGGAUUUAUUGGGCGUAAAGCGAGCGCAGGCGGUUAGAUAAGUCUGAAGUGAAAGGCUGUGGCUUAACCAUAGUAUGCUUUGGAAACUGUUUAACUUGAGUGCAGAAGGGGAGAGUGGAAUUCCAUGUGUAGCGGUGAAAUGCGUAGAUAUAUGGAGGAAUACCGGUGGCGAAGGCGGCCCCCUGGACAAAGACUGACGCUCAGGUGCGAAAGCGUGGGGAGCAAACAGG